RNAcentral lists this ribosomal RNA (538 nucleotides) under Melitaea interrupta. RNAcentral's name for it is "partial 16S ribosomal RNA". The stretch from base 401 to 538 matches the Rfam family "Archaeal large subunit ribosomal RNA", at positions 2542 to 2680 of the family's 2987-position model. Lineage: Eukaryota; Metazoa; Arthropoda; Insecta; Lepidoptera; Nymphalidae. The record is from RNAcentral.
UCAAAAACAUGUCUUUUUGAAAAUAAUUUAAAGUCUAAUCUGCCCACUGAUAUUAAUUAUUAAAGGGCUGCAGUAUAUUGACUGUACAAAGGUAGCAUAAUCAUUAGUCUUUUAAUUGAAGACUUGUAUGAAAGAUUUGAUGAAAUAUAAACUGUCUCUAAUUUAUUAAUAAAAAUUAAUUUUUUAGUUAAAAAGCUAAAAUAAUAUUAAAAGACGAGAAGACCCUAUAAAGUUUAAUAAUUUAUUUAUUUAAUAUUAAAUAUAUAAUUAAAUAUAAUAAUUAUUAUAAAUUAUUUUAUUGGGGUGAUAGAAAAAUUUAAUUAACUUUUUUUAAUAAAUAAACAUAAAUAAAUGAUUUAUUGAUCCAUUAUUAAUGAUUAAAAGAAAAAAUUACUUUAGGGAUAACAGCGUAAUAUUUUUUUUUAGUACAAAUAAAAAAAAAAGUUUGCGACCUCGAUGUUGGAUUAAGAUAAAAUUUAAAUGCAAAAGUUUAAAAUUUUGAUCUGUUCGAUCAUUAAAAUCUUACAUGAUCUGAGCU